RNAcentral lists this transfer-messenger RNA (378 nucleotides) under Puniceicoccales bacterium. It matches the Rfam family "transfer-messenger RNA". Rfam says of the family: Bacterial tmRNA, also known as 10Sa RNA or SsrA, is named for its dual tRNA and mRNA-like properties. The record is from RNAcentral. Lineage: Bacteria; Pseudomonadati; Verrucomicrobiota; Opitutia; Puniceicoccales.
GGGGGUGCCAUGGAUUCGAUUGUGUAUUGUAGAUCAACAUUGCAUGUCGGAGUUGACGGUCGGCUUCGUUACCAAACCGUUAAAUAGAUAAAUGGCAACAAUGUCAUAAAUGUUGACUUCAGCAAUGGAGUCAACAAAGCUGCAGCUUAGCCGCAGCGUAUCAUCCUGCCUGAUGCUCGAUGGGGUGGGUAUGGUGUCGAUUUAUCGAGCGUCUCCGUGGAAUUUCGCGGUGUUCCAUGGGGAUAAUUUGCACUGCGAUGGUCCUAAUGUGAUGUGCCGAUGCAUGAUAUUAGGAUGAGAGUCAAUCAUUGGACAAACAUGUAGGCGUGUUUUUCGAAGAUACACAAGACGCGGGUUCAAUUCCCGCCACCUCCACCA